UUGUUUUUGAAUUGGUACUGAUUGAUUAUUCAAAAAUACUGGAAUUACUGAAGAUACUUGAUGAUGAUGGUGACAGGAUGGUUGAUUCUUUCUGAUCUGAGGCCUCCUCUGCCUCCCAAUAGAAAAUGCAUUAGCUUCGCUAUCUUUCUUCUUCCCAAAACUUCUGCUAUAUCUCUUACUUGAUGAUGCUUCUUCCUUUG
Molecule: long non-coding RNA, 200 nt
Filed under: Lathyrus oleraceus (garden pea)
Lineage: Eukaryota; Viridiplantae; Streptophyta; Magnoliopsida; Fabales; Fabaceae
Description: Pisum sativum (pea) long non-coding RNA (PSAT_LNC018119)
Source: RNAcentral